UUCCAUUCCAUUCCAUUCCAUUCCUCUCGGGUUGAUUCCAUUAAAUUCCAUUCCCUUUUAUUCCAUUCCAUUCCAUUCCAUUGCAUUCCAUUCCAUUCCAUUCCAUACCAUUCCACCAAAGUUGAUUGCAUGCUAUUCCAUUCCAUUCCAUUCCAUUCCGUUCCUUUCCACUUGGGUUGAUUCCAUUCCAUUCAAUUCCGUUCCAUUCCGUUCCGUUCCGUUCCGUUCCAUUCCAUUCCAUUCCAUUCCAUUCCAUUCCAUUCCAUUCCGUUCCGUUCCAUUCCAUUCCAUUCAUUUCCAUUCCUUUCCAUUGCACUCCACUCGGGUUGAUUCCAUUCCAUUCCAUUC
This 348-nucleotide long non-coding RNA is filed under the name Homo sapiens (human). Its description in RNAcentral is "HSALNT0319563". Lineage: Eukaryota; Metazoa; Chordata; Mammalia; Primates; Hominidae. The record is from RNAcentral.